Molecule: non-coding RNA, 366 nt
Organism: Phoenix dactylifera (date palm)
Lineage: Eukaryota; Viridiplantae; Streptophyta; Magnoliopsida; Arecales; Arecaceae
Source: RefSeq, a predicted model, not a curated record
CCGGCCCAACCCUUAGGCAACUGAGGCGGUCGCCUAAGGCCCCGGCCCAAAGAAGGUCCACCGCAGGAAAUGCCUGAAAGACAAAAUGGAAAAAAAAGGCCCCCUGUGAAUUCGCCUUAGGCCGGCCCACUGUAGGGAAGGCCUCAAAGACAAAACGGCCUUAGGUCCCCAAAUACAUUGGGCCGCUCCUGGCCCAAGAUAUCCAGAUGACGCUGAUAAUGUCAAUCAGUUUAUACACUGGGACGAGAACCAAUUAUUCCGGGUAUCGAUAAGCCAUUUAAGACGAGCAUAGUUUUCUCUAUAGAAGACGGACCUGAUGUGCUUUUUAGGGCCGUUGCUGUUUUUACCAUGAGAGACAUCAAUCUU